This is a long non-coding RNA of Cervus elaphus (red deer), 793 nucleotides long. RefSeq lists it as uncharacterized. The record is from RefSeq and is a predicted model, not a curated record. Lineage: Eukaryota; Metazoa; Chordata; Mammalia; Artiodactyla; Cervidae. The transcript is spliced from 6 exons.
GUCCUCCUGGUGGGGCAGGAGACACUUGAGAUCUCCAAGUGUUCACCUGGCCUCAAGCCGCGCCUUUCAUUUUGGAAAACCAGCAAAAGAAAACACCGCCGGCACGCUUCAAACAAAAACCCAUCCCCUGGCCCUCAGCCAGAAGAACUCAACCGUCGUCAAGGAUGAAUUUUUCCUGAGUGAAUACAUACAUGUGAGCGCCGUGGAGAUCGGAACAUGAAGCCUUCUCAUCUCUCCACGCCCUGCGAUCUGGAGUCUCCCGCGUACAAGCAGGGACGUGAAGUCAGUGUCGGGACGAUGGGGUUCAGGGAUAAAGUUGAGUCACCCAUCCAGGGGAGUGGCUGUUAUGGAGAAUCAGAAGUCUGCCCUCCUCAUGGCCAUAUAUAACAGUCUGGUCUUCAAUGAUAACACAAGAGGCAGACAGGAUGAAGGUAUUGGAUGAUCUGAAACACUCAAAUUCUUCUAAAGCAUCAGAGAAAUAAACAGGACUCCAGUGUCGUGCAAGGAGACACAAACAUGGACUGAUACGUUUCCAAGCCCUUUGCAGGCCAUGGUCCUGGACUCUUGCCCCAUAACCCUGCUGACCCUGCCCACCUGAGGGGAUGCAGAGGCAAGGAAACAGUUGUUCCACCCAGAGAGGAAAAGCAAAUGUGCUGGCCUACAGGUCUGUUACUUUUAUAACCAGAAAGAACUUUCUCAGAACAAAUUCCCAAAGACAAAUGCACCCGAUGUUCACUGGAGCACUGUUUACAACAGCCAAGACAUGGAAGCCACCAAAUGAUGCAUUGACUGA